AGAUUGAACGCUGGCGGAAUGCUUUACACAUGCAAGUCGAACGGCAGCACGGGACUCAGGCAACUGAGCCCUGGUGGCGAGUGGCGAACGGGUGAGUAACAUAUCGGAACGUACCCAGUCGUGGGGGAUAACUCUCCGAAAGGAGAGCUAAUACCGCAUACGUCCUGAGGAGAAAGCGGGGGACCUGCAAGGGCCUCGCGCGAUUGGAGCGGCCGAUAUCGGAUUAGCUAGUUGGUGGGUAAAGGCUCACCAAGGCGACGAUCCGUAGCGGGUCUGAGAGGACGACCCGCCACACUGGAACUGAGACACGGUCCAGACUCCUACGGAGCAGCAGUGGGAAUUUGGACAAGUGGGGCAACCUGACUCCAGCCAUCCGCGUGAGUGAAGAGCCGUUGGUGUAAGUCUACUUCGGCAGAACGAACGGUCGUACUUAAGUAAGUCG
RNAcentral lists this ribosomal RNA (442 nucleotides) under uncultured soil bacterium. Its description in RNAcentral is "bacterial SSU rRNA". It matches the Rfam family "Bacterial small subunit ribosomal RNA", at positions 26 to 468 of the family's 1533-position model. The record is from RNAcentral.